UGGGGAAUAUUGGACAAUGGGGGGAACCCUGAUCCAGCGAUGCCGCGUGGGUGAAGAAGGCCUUCGGGUUGUAAAGCCCUUUAGUUUGGGAAGAAGGGUAUGGUAGGAAAUGACCAUAUUUUGACGGUACCGAAAGAAUAAGCACCGGCAAACUCUGUGCCAGCAGCCGCGGUAAUACAGAGGGUGCGAGCGUUAAUCGGAAUUACUGGGCGUAAAGGGCGCGUAGGCGGGUAUAAGAGUGUGAUGUGAAAGCCCUGGGCUUAACCUAGGAAGUGCAUCGCAAACGAUAUACCUGGAGUAGAGUAGAGGGUGGCGGAAUUUCCGGUGUAGCGGUGAAAUGCGUAGAGAUCGGAAGGAACGUCGAUGGCGAAGGCAGCCACCUGGGCUCAUACUGACGCUG
This 400-nucleotide ribosomal RNA is filed under the name uncultured bacterium. Its description in RNAcentral is "bacterial SSU rRNA". It matches the Rfam family "Bacterial small subunit ribosomal RNA", at positions 355 to 748 of the family's 1533-position model. The record is from RNAcentral.